Molecule: small nucleolar RNA, 177 nt
Organism: Pteronotus mesoamericanus
Lineage: Eukaryota; Metazoa; Chordata; Mammalia; Chiroptera; Mormoopidae
Product: small nucleolar RNA SNORA81
Exons: 1
Source: RefSeq, a predicted model, not a curated record
GCCCUUUGGUGUAAGCACUGCACUCAAAUGCAGAAACAAGGGUCAUGGCUUGGUUUUUAUAACAGUGCUAGCAGAGUACACACAAGAGAAAAAGGCACUGCACUAGGCUGUAAGGACUCGAGUGGACCUCUUUCUUAACGUCCAGUGUCCUCUGUCUUAAGGCUUGGCGGAAUACAU